CACAUGUGUGAAUGAUUGAAUGAUGGAUGUAGCGUGCGAAAAAUAUCUUUUUUUCGCACGCAGUGAAGUAAGGACAUUUUUUUCACACGCUAAUCUUGAAUGAAAUAAUCGAGCCUCAUAUAAGAUUAGAAAGGGACAAGAAAGAGUUCAUUUCCGUCAUUGAAUUGCGAAAA
Bradysia coprophila is the source of this 173-nucleotide long non-coding RNA. NCBI's taxonomy places the organism in Eukaryota, Metazoa, Arthropoda, Insecta, Diptera, Sciaridae. The record is from RefSeq and is a predicted model, not a curated record.